RNAcentral lists this ribosomal RNA (468 nucleotides) under uncultured bacterium. RNAcentral describes it as "partial 16S ribosomal RNA". It matches the Rfam family "Bacterial small subunit ribosomal RNA", at positions 28 to 507 of the family's 1533-position model. The record is from RNAcentral.
GACGAACGCUGGCGGCGUGCUUAACACAUGCAAGUCGAACGGAAAGGCCCUGCUUUUGUGGGGUGCUCGAGUGGCGAACGGGUGAGUAACACGUGAGUAGCCUGCCCUUGACUUUGGGAUAACUUCAGGAAACUGGGGCUAAUACCGGAUAGGAGCUCCUGCUGCAUGGUGGGGGUUGGAAAGUUUCGGCGGUUGGGGAUGGACUCGCGGCUUAUCAGCUUGUUGGUGGGGUAGUGGCUUACCAAGGCUUUGACGGGUAGCCGGCCUGAGAGGGUGACCGGGCACAUUGGGACUGAGAGACGGACCAGACUCCUACGGGAGGCAGCAGUGGGGAAUAUUGCACAAUGGGCGGAAGCCUGAUGCGGCAACGCCGCGUGCGGGAUGACGGCCUUCGGGUUGUAAACCGCUUUCGCCUGUGACGAAGCGUGAGUGACGGUAAUGGGUAAAGAAGCACCGGCUAACUACGUG